Molecule: long non-coding RNA, 1985 nt
Filed under: Marmota monax (woodchuck)
Lineage: Eukaryota; Metazoa; Chordata; Mammalia; Rodentia; Sciuridae
Source: RNAcentral
GAACAUUUCUAUCACCCCAAGAAGAAAUCCUGAUUCUAGUUCCUGGCAGCCACUAAUGUACUUCCUGUCUCUGUGGAUUUCCUGUUCUGGACACUCCCAUAUGGAUGGAGUCCUGCACUGCGAGGCUUUUCGAAUCUGGCUUUCACUUGUAUGCUCUCAGGGUUCAUCCACACUGGGGCAUGGGUCAGUACUUUGGGUUUGCUUUUAGUGUCCCUGGGUGGGUCUCCUUUGGAGCCAAGUUGCUCGAGCACCUCCCAUACAGCCUUAGUCAGGAUGCCUGAGCAAAGCCCCUGCUCUGAUAUGAACACUUACCAGGUCCAAGAGCAACCUGCUAGGCUAGGGUCAGUUUCCCAAGAGUCAAACAUUGAUAGCCUUGAGAAGCUAAGUGACUGGUUCAUAAACCUAAAGCCAUCAGCCUUUUUAUUUUUGUAUAUAUUCUUUUCUUCCUUCUCCCCUACCCUCCUUUUUUUGAGACAGGGUCUCACUACGUUGUCCAUGCUGAACUUCAACUCCUGGGCUCAAGUGAUCCUUACUGAGGGGCCUGCCCUUCCAGCAUCGAUUGUGGGGAGCUUGAAGGUGCAGAAAAACCCCUUUGGAGAUGGUUUCAGAGAAUAGGGUCUGCUUUAUUGCACAGCAAAAAUAGCUUUUAUAGUGGGUAUGUGCCAAUUAUCAUAUAACAGUCAUAAUAGGCCAGAGGUGAUACACAACAUAUCAUGUUACAGGAGUCCAGACACCAAGAGUCUAGAAACCGCCACGUAGGCUGACCUUGUGCCAACAGGGGAAUAACUUCCUGUCAAAGGAGCAAGGAAAUGGCGCAUGGUGUUCUGACAGCACUCUGUUCCAAAACUUCCUGUGUUCUAUGUUAGGGCUUCCCUGCUGCACAGUGAGCAGGGUAAGCAUUCUUCCAUGCAGGUCCAGAGUCAGGCCCUGCAACAGAUCCUCCUGCCUCAGCCUCCCAAGCAGCCGGGAUACAGGCAUGUGCCACGACAGCCGGUUUUCGGUGUAUUCUUUUUUUUUAUUUGCAGUUGGACACAGCACCUUUAUUUUAUCUAUUUAUUUAUAUGUGGUGCUGAGGAUCGAACCCAGCACCUCACACGUGCUAGGCAAGUGCUUUACCACUGAGCCCCAGCCCCAGCCCUCUGUGUUCUUUAUAGUGAACAUAUCACAUGGAGAGGAGGACAGGACAGAGCACGGUUGCUUAAAGGAAUGUCUUCUUUCAGGUGGAUGCUUUACCACCCGGACUUUAGGGUGUGGCCAUGCCUACUUAAUUUGUAGAUUCGUUUCCCAAAGACAGAUGAUGAAAAAAAGCAAAUGUUUGUCUUUGACAGCUUUCUUCUUAGUAAUUUUCCCCUGGGCUUUCUUCCAAGAUACUGAGAGAUGUAAACACCAAGAGAUGUAAACACUUUGCAGUUUCCCAGAGAGGAACCAAGAUACAGGGGAAAUUUUCAUGCCAAUGCUACAACGCUUCUGUACUUGCUCCACUCCUGGGCCACACCUUAUUUACAUGUGUUUUUUUAUUGGAUUUCCUUCGGGAGUGCUGAGAAUUGUGUGGUGGGAAAAAAACUUCCAAGAACUGGGAGAAAGUCCAGGAGUGGUGGCCAGUGACUCAGGAGGAUUGCAAGUUCAAAGGCAGCUUCAAGAACAUAGCAAGAGACCCUGUUUCAAAAACCACAGGGCUGGGGAUGUGGCUUCAAGUGCCCUGAGGUUCCAUACUCAGUACCAAUACAAAACAGGGAGAACAAUGAUAACAAUUCUCUGCAAUUACAGUACUGCAGCCUUAUUCCCUUUUAGGUCCACUUCCCCCAAAUCCCCAUAAAAUUGAGUUUAUUAAGGUGCAAACCUCCCCUCUUUGUUUAGAAGCCAGGGCCUGUAGGCUCACUCUUGCAGUGGAGUUGCAUUAACUGCAGGGCGAAGGGAAACUCCCAAGUUUUCAACUGGACAUGAACACGACCAACUUCAUUCUAACUGGAAACCAACCAGCAAAC